UUGAGUUUGAUCGUGGCUCAGAUUGAACGCUGGCGGCAGGCUCUAACACAUGCCAAGUCGGAGCGGUAGCACAGGGGGGAGCUUGCUCCCUGGGUGACGAGCGGCGGACGGGUGAGUAAUGUCUGGGAAACUGCCUGAUGGAGGGGGAUAACUACUGGAAACGGUAGCUAAUACCGCAUAACGUCGCAAGACCAAAGAGGGGGACCUUCGGGCCUCUUGCCAUCAGAUGUGCCCAGAUGGGAUUAGCUAGUAGGUGGGGUAAUGGCUCACCUAGGCGACGAUCCCUAGCUGGUCUGAGAGGAUGACCAGCCACACUGGAACUGAGACACGGUCCAGACUCCUACGGGAGGCAGCAGUGGGGAAUAUUGCACAAUGGGCGCAAGCCUGAUGCAGCCAUGCCGCGUGUGUGAAGAAGGCCUUCGGGUUGUAAAGCACUUUCAGCGAGGAGGAAGGUGGUGAGCUUAAUACGCUCAUCAAUUGACGUUACUCGCAGAAGAAGCACCGGCUAACUCCGUGCCAGCCGCCGCCGUAACACAAA
This 538-nucleotide ribosomal RNA is filed under the name Serratia marcescens. RNAcentral's name for it is "bacterial SSU rRNA". It matches the Rfam family "Bacterial small subunit ribosomal RNA", at positions 1 to 529 of the family's 1533-position model. Lineage: Bacteria; Pseudomonadati; Pseudomonadota; Gammaproteobacteria; Enterobacterales; Yersiniaceae. The record is from RNAcentral.